AAUGAACGCUGGCGGCAGGCCUAACACAUGCAAGUCGAACGGAUCCUUCGGGAUUAGUGGCGGACGGGUGAGUAACGCGUGGGAACAUACCCUUUGGUACGGAAUAGCCUCGGGAAACUGGGAGUAAUACCGUAUGUGGUCGAGAGACGAAAGAUUUAUCGCCAAAGGAUUGGCCCGCGUUGGAGUAGGUAGUUGGUGGGGUAAUGGCAUACCAAGCCGACGAUCCAUAGCUGGUUUGAGAGGAUGAUCAGCCAGACUGGGACUGAGACACGGCCCAGACUACUACGGGAGGCAGCAGUGGGGAAUCUUAGACAAUGGGGGAAACCUUGAUCUAGCCAUGCCGCGUGAUCGAUGAAGGCCUUAGGGUUGUAAAGAUCUUUCAGGUGGGAAGAUAAUGACUGUACCACCAGAAGAAGCCCCGGCUAACUCCGUGCCAGCAGCCGCGGUAA
Molecule: ribosomal RNA, 449 nt
Filed under: uncultured bacterium
Lineage: Bacteria
Description: partial 16S ribosomal RNA
Rfam family: Bacterial small subunit ribosomal RNA
Source: RNAcentral